Long non-coding RNA from Astatotilapia calliptera (eastern happy), 1064 nucleotides. The record is from Ensembl. NCBI's taxonomy places the organism in Eukaryota, Metazoa, Chordata, Actinopteri, Cichliformes, Cichlidae.
AUUUUAUUUUACUUGGAAAUGGUUUUAGUGAACGCUUAAUAGGCUCAUAUUUUUAAGGAAAGGCGAGACAUUUUUGCUCGUAUUCGGUUUUGCUUUAUGACACUGCUUCAGACAAGCCACGGGAGCGCGCAUGGGAUGAGGAUAAGACGCGUAAGCGCUCCCGGUCUCUAGAGGCUCAGUGUGAGAUAAAUACAUAAAGAUACAGCCAGAAACAUUUUACUGAACAAACAGCUAAGUCUUUUAGAAGAUUUCCCUUGUUAUUAGAAAUUCUCAGCAACUUUGUUUUCAAAGUACUUUUUAAAAAGUUUAUAUAUUAUUAUAUAAUCGUUUAUGCUUUUAUCGCUUAGGUCAAUUAAAAGUGCUGAGUGGAAGUUCAGAGAUAACAAGGUCUUUAAAAAUAGAUCCGAUUAUUGGUAGCCAGUGCUGCUGUUUACAUCUGCCACGUUUCCCGGAGGACCGAGGGUCGUUCUGGCCUGCUUGGGAACCUGGAAGAAGCGCACGUCACGGAGACAGAGUCUCUGCGUAUCCAUGGCACGCUGGUGCGCACGCCAAAGACGCGCAUAAUUAAGCGCGUGUAAUCUCUAUUUCGCUUUCUGUCGCUAAGGCAACCAGGUAAACAGGUCUAUAAAACAAAAUGAAAACACGGAGAAGAGAAGUAGGUACCUAAUAGAAAAAUAAAUACAAUGAAAUAUAAAUGUAAAAAUUGCUACAAGUUGAAAACUUGCCCAAAGUGCCAAUCAAAUAUAUGGUUUACAUCGAUGUAGCUCAUGAUCAGUUUCGCUGAGUGUGAGUGAAAUUUGAUACUUUUGCUUGAUUUUUCAGUAUAAAAACAUUGGGACGUUUGAGCUUAUUGUAUAUUAGUUUAAUAAUUAUGCAAAUGAUCUCGUAUAGAUAGGUGUGUGUUCAUAGUACAUUUUAAUGAAUUAGCUUUGAAAACUGAGAACUAACAAUGUCCAAACUUUGUUUUUCAUAUCUUAACACAGAUUAUUUCAAUAACUGUUCUUUUUGUGUGUGUGUGGUUUUUUUUAAAGUUACUCUCCUCAUUACACUUGUAAGAUCACCAU